ACCGGAUAGGACGAAAGUUUAAAGGUGCUUCUGGCACCGCUGAUGGAUGAGCCUGCGGCGCAUUAGCUAGUUGGUAGGGUAAAGGCCUACCAAGGCGACGAUGCGUAGCCGACCUGAGAGGGUGAACGGCCACACUGGGACUGAGACACGGCCCAGACUCCUACGGGAGGCAGCAGUAGGGAAUCUUCGGCAAUGGGCGAAAGCCUGACCGAGCAACGCCGCGUGAAUGAUGAAGGCCUUCGGGUUGUAAAAUUCUGUUAUAAGGGAAGAACGACUUUAGUAGGAAAUGGCUAGAGUGUGACGGUACCUUAUGAGAAAGCCACGGCUAACUACGUGCCAGCAGCCGCGGUAAUACGUAGGUGGCGAGCGUUAUCCGGAAUUAUUGGGCGUAAAGAGCGCGCAGGUGGUUGAUUAAGUCUGAUGUGAAAGCCCACGGCUUAACCGUGGAGGGUCAUUGGAAACUGGUCGACUUGAGUGCAGAAGAGGGAAGUGGAAUUCCAUGUGUAGCGGUGAAAUGCGUAGAGAUAUGGAGGAACACCAGUGGCG
Molecule: ribosomal RNA, 546 nt
Filed under: uncultured Bacillota bacterium
Lineage: Bacteria; Bacillati; Bacillota
Description: bacterial SSU rRNA
Rfam family: Bacterial small subunit ribosomal RNA
Source: RNAcentral